ACGCUCGACACCUACGGGAGGCAGCAGUCGGGAAUAUUGCGCAAUGGAGGAAACUCUGACGCAGUGACGCCGCGUGCAGGAAGAAGGUUUUCGGAUUGUAAACUGCUUUAGACAGGGAAGAAGAAGUGACAGUACCUGUAGAAUAAGCUCCGGCUAACUACGUGUCAGCAGCCGCGGUAAUCUGAGCGGGCUGGCAAGGC
RNAcentral lists this ribosomal RNA (200 nucleotides) under uncultured bacterium. Its description in RNAcentral is "partial 16S ribosomal RNA". It matches the Rfam family "Bacterial small subunit ribosomal RNA", at positions 328 to 539 of the family's 1533-position model. The record is from RNAcentral.